CUAGAGAUCCCUCAGACCCUU
Molecule: unclassified non-coding RNA, 21 nt
Filed under: synthetic construct
Source: RNAcentral